RNAcentral lists this ribosomal RNA (520 nucleotides) under uncultured bacterium. Its description in RNAcentral is "partial 16S ribosomal RNA". It matches the Rfam family "Bacterial small subunit ribosomal RNA", at positions 29 to 523 of the family's 1533-position model. The record is from RNAcentral.
AACGAACGCUGGCGGCGUGCUUAACACAUGCAAGUCGAACGGAGAAUUUUAUUUCGGUAGAAUUCUUAGUGGCGAACGGGUGAGUAACGCGUAGACAACCUGCCUCUUAGAUGGGGACAACAUCGCGAAAGCGGUGCUAAUACCGAAUGAAGUGGAGCUUCCGCAUGGAAGCAUCACCAAAGGUGGCCUCUAUUUAUAAGCUACCACUGAGAGAUGGGUCUGCGUCUGAUUAGCUAGUUGGCGGGGUAAUGGCCCACCAAGGCGACGAUCAGUAGCCGGUCGGAGAGGAUGAACGGCCACAUUGGGACUGAGACACGGCCCAAACGCCUACGGGAGGCAGCAGUGGGGAAUCUUCCGCAAUGGACGAAAGUCUGACGGAGCAACGCCGCGUGAGUGAAGAAGGUUUUCGGAUCGUAAAGCUCUGUUGUUUGAAACGAAUGUGCAGACUUUGAAUAAGGGUUUGUAAUGACGGUAUUAAACGAGAAAGCCACGGCUAACUACGUGCCAGCCGCCGCGGUAA